Molecule: ribosomal RNA, 520 nt
Filed under: uncultured Glomus
Lineage: Eukaryota; Fungi; Glomeromycota; Glomeromycetes; Glomerales; Glomeraceae
Description: SSU rRNA
Rfam family: Eukaryotic small subunit ribosomal RNA
Source: RNAcentral
AGCAGCCGCGGUAAUUCCAGCUCCAAUAGCGUAUAUUAAAGUUGUUGCAGUUAAAAAGCUCGUAGUUGAAUUUCGGGGUUAGUAGGUUGGUCAUGCCUCUGGUAUGUACUGGUCUCACUGAUUCCUCCUUCCUGAUGAACCGUAAUGCCAUUAAUUUGGUGUUGCGGGGAAUUUGGACUGUUACUUUGAAAAAUUAGAGUAGUUUAAAGCAAGCUAACGCUUGAAUACAUUAGCAUGGAAUAAUGAAAUAGGACGUUCGAUCCUAUUUUGUUGGUUUCUAGGAUUGACGUAAUGAUUAAUAGGGAUAGUUGGGGGCAUUAGUAUUCAAUUGUCAGAGGUGAAAUUCUUGGAUUUAUUGAAGACUAACUACUGCGAAAGCAUUUGCCAAGGAUGUUUUCAUUAAUCAAGAACGAAAGUUAGGGGAUCGAAGACGAUCAGAUACCGUCGUAGUCUUAACCAUAAACUAUGCCGACUAGGGAUCGGAUGAUGUUAAUUUUUAAUGUACUCAUUCGGCGCCUUA